GCAAGUAUGAAACCGGGCGAACGACACCCCCGAACUGCUCAAUCCGCGCAGCCCACCCCCCGCGCGCCCUUCCCCCCGGUUUCGUUGCCGCGCCGUCCUCCUCCGUCAUCCCGCUGCGCCUGCCCGUUAUCUCCCCCUCGACUCCCCGCGUUCCCCAUCAAUCCGUCUCUCUCUCUCGUCAGAAACAAGCAUACCAGGCUAUGGUUGCACCGGGCGGCGGCCUCCCUGGCUGCCAGUGGCGUAGCGUGAGAUUGAAAUAAGCAGGGGCCAAUCGCUGUGGUGGGAGCAGAACAAGCCGGCGCAGCCAAGCUGAGGAGCUAGCUAGCGGCGUCUGGCAGCGAGUUGACGUGGAGCAAACCAAUCGGAAGGGGGGGUCGCCCUGUUUUGCCUCCAUGAAGCUACGCCAGUGCUGGCUGCCUAACGCCACCACUCCGACCCUGGCGGUGGAUCUGGAUCAACAGAGCAUGAGGAGAGGUGAGUCUAGCGGUGAAUCUGUUUCAUAGUGAAAGAGAUGCAAAAAACAGAUGGUCAUUUGUUACAGCCUGUUGAAGGGAUACAAAAUUGGCCCACAUCUCAAAUGGCAAGACCACAACCACCUAAAACUCUAAAGAUGCAAGGUAGACAAAAAAGAGAGGAGAAGGGAACCACAUGAGAAGCCAAAGGGCAAGAGAAUGUCAAAGGUAGGAUCUGUUACGAGGUGCAGGAUAUGCAAGCAGCCUGGACACAACAAGAGCACUUGUGCAAGGAGUACAGGAAGGUCACAAUCUCACUCCCAUGUGCACCCACCACAAUCUGCAGCAAAUGUGAACCCAGUACAAUCUCAAUCACAUCCGAACUCUCAAAAUGCACUGGUUCCUUUGCCAAUGUCACAGCAAAGUGUCACUAGCACAAAGAAGAGGAAGCAGCCCUGCACUGUCAGUACUUCAAAGGCAACAAAGAAAUGCAAUGAUAUAGGAUUUCUCUACUCAGAGAAGACAGCCACAACCAUGCUAGUGCUAUGUCGAUUUCUAUGUUAGACUCUACCAGUACUUCAUCAUGUAAUAUGGCAGACUAAUGGUUUAUAUGCCAGUGCAAUGAAUAUUCUGUUAUCUUA
This is a long non-coding RNA of Panicum virgatum (switchgrass), 1093 nucleotides long. RefSeq lists it as uncharacterized. The transcript has 2 exons. Lineage: Eukaryota; Viridiplantae; Streptophyta; Magnoliopsida; Poales; Poaceae. The record is from RefSeq and is a predicted model, not a curated record.